Molecule: long non-coding RNA, 282 nt
Organism: Mauremys mutica (yellowpond turtle)
Lineage: Eukaryota; Metazoa; Chordata; Testudines; Geoemydidae
Exons: 3
Source: RefSeq, a predicted model, not a curated record
AGCACUUCCUGGAGCGGCACAGGGCCGGGGACAGGACAGGCAUGCAGGGAGCCUGCCCUGGCCCCGGUGCGCGCCGCUGCCACCCUGGAGCCACUUGAGAACUAACUAUUCAUGUGAAUAAGAGUUGCAAGAUAAAGUCCUUGGAUUGUGGUAGUUACUGCUGUUCAGCAAAGGAAAAUAUGAAAAAAGGCCAGAAAGUGUCACAAUUGUUUUAAGGAGAGACUAAAACAGGAAGGGGAAGAAGGAGGAAGCUAUCUAAGGAUAGGUUGAUGAGCAGGAGGU